Molecule: unclassified non-coding RNA, 334 nt
Filed under: soil metagenome
Description: partial contains 5.8S ribosomal RNA, internal transcribed spacer 2, and large subunit ribosomal RNA
Rfam family: 5.8S ribosomal RNA (bases 1-120)
Source: RNAcentral
GAUGAAGAACGUAGCGAAAUGCGAUAAGUAAUGUGAAUUGCAGAAUUCAGUGAAUCAUCGAAUCUUUGAACGCACAUUGCGCCCGCCAGUAUUCUGGCGAGCAUGCCUGUUCCAGCGUCAUUUCAACCAUCAAGCCCCAGGCUUGUGUUGGAGCCCUGCGGCUGCCGCAGCCUCCCAAAACCAGUGGCGGGCUCGCUAUCACACCGAGUGCAGUAGUUUACUCUUCGCUCAGGGCGUGUGGCGGGUGCUAGCCGUGAAACCCCCAACUUCUCAAGGUUGACCUCGGAUCAGGUAGGAAUACCCGCUGAACUUAAGCAUAUCAAUAAGCGGAGGA